ACGAUGCACAGUAUAAGAGUGUGCCACGUACGACGAGACUUUAUCGGUGUGAAAAUGAUUCAGUAUUCCGAUCGUAUCCCCCAAUAGAUCUCGACGUUGUAUAUGAUAAUGGCUCGGCGCGGUGCUCCCGGUUUCCAAAGGAAUACAUAUCGCGGGCCACAUCCAAUUCCGCAGCUGUUGGAAUAACGUAUUGUCUCGUUACCCGUACGUAUCGCGUAUAUUGCGAUGAUGCGGUGCGAUUAAAAUCAUGGUAUUAUUACACGUGAGGUAUAACAAUUCUCUCACGUGGGGUCGGUCGUCAUCGUCCGUACCUAUUCCUCGGGUAGAGGUACACGUCUCCACGCGUUUAUCCGUUUGUACGUAUCACCUCAUCAAGAUGAUCGCGAUCCACGAUUAUAACAUAAGAACUAACCGCAGCAGCGGCGAGGCGAGUCAACAAUAAGAACGAGAAGAAGAGGAGGAUAAAGAAGGAGACGAAGACGAGGGGGUAAAAAGAGGAGCGGUAAACAUGGCGAGCAUAGGUGUGAUACGGUUGCAUACAACGGAGGUAUACGCGAGAGCAAAUGUGCAGCAGCGUCGGCCGCAAAUGCUGCAUCGCGUCGCGUCGCGUCCUGCCGCAUGCGGCGUUAUACGUCGUCGAGAGCAACGCCGUUAAAAUUUAUUCCUUUUCCUUAAGCCGUAUGCAAUUACCGGAGUAAUUAAUUGCGCAAACUGUCAAUUAUAAUCAUACGUAUACCUA
This is a long non-coding RNA of Athalia rosae (coleseed sawfly), 739 nucleotides long. RefSeq lists it as uncharacterized. The transcript has 3 exons. NCBI's taxonomy places the organism in Eukaryota, Metazoa, Arthropoda, Insecta, Hymenoptera, Athaliidae. The record is from RefSeq and is a predicted model, not a curated record.